RNAcentral lists this ribosomal RNA (274 nucleotides) under uncultured bacterium. Its description in RNAcentral is "partial 16S ribosomal RNA". It matches the Rfam family "Bacterial small subunit ribosomal RNA", at positions 523 to 796 of the family's 1533-position model. The record is from RNAcentral.
AUACGGAGGGUGCAAGCGUUAUCCGGAAUCGUUGGGUUUAAAGGGUCCGUAGGUGGUUAAUUAAGUCAGAGGUGAAAUCCUGCAGCUCAACUGUAGCAUUGCCUUUGAUACUGGUUAUCUUGAGUUAUUAUGAAGUAGUUAGAAUAUGUAGUGUAGCGGUGAAAUGCAUAGAUAUUACAUAGAAUACCGAUUGCGAAGGCAGAUUACUAAUAAUAUACUGACACUGAGGGACGAAAGCGUGGGGAGCGAACAGGAUUAGAAACCCUAGUAGUCC